AUGUCAAUAUGACAGCAGUUCAAGUUGGGUCUGAAUUUCUUAAUCUAACAACAAAUGUAUCACAUGCUGGAGACUAUAAAGAGUCAAUAAUUGACAGUGGUACAACUUUGGCUUACUUCCCAGAUGUUAUAUACCAGACAUUAGUGAAGAAGAUUCCCUAGUAGCCUGAUAUAAAGUUACAAACCCUUCAUGAGCAGUGUACAUGCUUUCAGCACUCCGGAAGUGUGGAUGAUGAUUUUCCUGCUGUCACCUUUCAUUUUGAAAAUUCAGUCCUCUUGAAAGUGUAUCAUAAUUAGUAUCUCUUCCUCUUUGUAAGUAUCUUCUCUUGUUCAAACUGCUCAUUAACAUGAUUAUUAUACUUUUGAGGCUACUUUGCAAACCAGAUGUUGUUACUUUGUAAUCCUAGUACAGUUGUGUGAAGGUUGUGUGAAGUUAAGAUUUUAGGUUUUUCUGUACUGCAUAGUUUAUGUUGUGUGGUCUAGUAGUGGAAUUACUGUAAAAUCAACCCAUGCACCUUUUAUUUGAAGAUUGGAUGGCAGGAGUGGGUACAUCUUUAGGAAUGGGUACAUCAACAGAUGAAGAAAGAUGGGGUGCGGAAUGGGUACAUCAACAGAUGAAGAAAGAUGGGG
Molecule: long non-coding RNA, 629 nt
Organism: Impatiens glandulifera
Lineage: Eukaryota; Viridiplantae; Streptophyta; Magnoliopsida; Ericales; Balsaminaceae
Exons: 3
Source: RefSeq, a predicted model, not a curated record